AAGAGCCCAUGCCUGGCCCUCCUCCCUGUGAUGGUCUCCAGCUGGGCCAGCAUCUGCACGGGGAACUCCUCCAGAGCACCCUCCUCCCUGCCUGCUCUGCCGUGUGUCGUCUGUGAUCUGCCACCUGUCACUUAGCUGAGAAGAAGACAGCGUGGUCCUGCCCUGAGGGGGGGCCUUCCACCCGUAUUGCUGCGGUUUACUGCGCAUCUGCUCGGUGCCCAACGCUGUCUGCCGGUUACCUUCACGCCUGCCUGUAACCUAAGGGUUGUUAUUCCUGUGCUGCAGACGAGAAAAGCUCAGAGAGGCUAAGUGAGCUGCCCAAGGCCACACAGGCUUCACUUAGGAGGGAACCACAGGGCCACUCUGCGCCGGAACAGGCAGAGAGGAGCUCCGACCAGUGAACGGUGAAGCUGGGCUACUCACUCCUUCAGCAGGACGACGUCAGCCAGCACGCCGAACAUCUGGUAGAGCCCAGAAGCCUCGUUGAUGCGCCGGAUGAUGGAGCUCGUCAGC
Hyaena hyaena (striped hyena) is the source of this 513-nucleotide long non-coding RNA. RefSeq lists it as uncharacterized. The record is from RefSeq and is a predicted model, not a curated record. Lineage: Eukaryota; Metazoa; Chordata; Mammalia; Carnivora; Hyaenidae. The transcript has 3 exons.